UGUAAAGUUCAAGCUCCGAUUUGAGGGCGACCCGCGAAUGGCUCAUUAAAUCAGUCAUAAUCUACUUGAUUGUUUAAAGGUUAUAUGGAUAACUGUGGUAAUUCUAGAGCUAAUACAUGAACAAAUGGGGCGACUCUUUCACGAGAGAAGCUCUGCGUUUAUUAGACUAAGACCAAUGAUUGUGGCAACACAAUCUACAUUUAAGGUGACUCUGAGUAAAUAAUGGGUGAAAGCCCAUGUUGCUGACCUGACAUCCCAAAAGGCUACUUGUAGUCUGUCAGGCAAAUCAAUCGAGUGUCUGCUCUAUCAACUGUGGAUGGUAGGAUAAUUGCCUACCAUGGUGAUGACGGGUAACGGGGAGUUAGGGCUCGACUCCGGAGAACAAGCCUGAGAAACGGCUAGUAGGACUAAGGUCUGCAGCAGGCGCGAAACUUACACAAUGCUAGAUUAUAUAUAGCGAUGUAGUGAAGAUAAAUAACGAUGUAUUGGUCUUUUAACAGACUAGUACAAUUGGAAUGAGACGACUUUAAAUAAGUUAGUCGAGUAACAAAUGGAGGGCAAGUCUGGUGCCAGCAGCCGCGGUAAUUCCAGCUCCAUUAGCAUACAUUAAAGUUGUUGCGGUUAAAAAGCUCGUAGUUGAAUUUCUGGCGAUUUCCCAUGAGUGGCAUCCGUUUAAGGGUGCUCUUCGGAGUUACCUGGUUGUCUUACUUCACUAGGAAAUCGUUGUUUCGUCACUUAAUCGAGUGCGAAGCGGGGUGGGUCUUUUAAGACUUCGGUCGAAAGUUCCACCAAGUUUACCUUGAGAAAAUUAGAGUGCUCAGAGCAGGCAGUUGGGGUGUAAAAGCUCCUUUAUGCUUGAAUAAUGUUGCAUGGAAUAAUAGAAUACGGCCUCGGUUCUAUUCUGUUGGUCUUAUAGAACAACAAACAAGUUGGUUGAGGCAACAAACGGUUAUAUGGUGAUUGUGGUUGAAGGCUCUGUUAAAGUUUGGCUUGUUGUCUGGGGCCUAAAAAUCUCAGUACCUUCCUGCUUUAGCAUCUUUCCUCCGCUAAGCAAUCCCAUUUAACUAGCCAACAUCCAACUGAGGCAAUGGUUAAAAGAAAUAGUCGCGGCGGCAUCAGUACUGCAUCGUGAGAGGUGAAAUUCUUAGACCGAUGCAAGACUAACUGAAGCGAAAGCGUUUGCCGAGGAUAUUUUCAUUAAUCAAGAACGAAAGUUAGAGGUUCGAAGGCGAUCAGAUACCGCCCUAGUUCUAACCAUAAACGUUGCCAACUAGCAAUUGGGUUGCGAUUCCUUUAAUUGAAGACGUAAAAAUCUUCAAUCAUUAUGAUCCACCCAGCGGCUCUCGUAGGGAAACCAAAGUGUUUGGGUUCCGGGGGAAGUAUGAUUGCAAAGUUGAAACUUAAAGGAAUUGACGGAAGGGCACCACCAGGAGUGGAGCCUGCGGCUUAAUUUGACUCAACACGGGGAAACUUACUAGAUUAGAACUCUGGAAUGAUUGACAGAUUGAUAGCUCUUUCUUGAUUCAGAGGAUGGUGGUGCAUGGCCGUUCUUGAUUCGUAUUCCGAAACGUCUGCUUAAUUGCGAUAACGAGUGAGACCUCUUCCAACUAACUAGUCACUUGGUGCGCUGUGGGACGCAAAAGUUUUGCUAGGAUCAUCGAGUCGUAGGGUAAAACUGAAAGCUCGACCCUAGUAAAAUGUCCUCUGCUCGCCGGUGGACUUCUUAGAGGGAUAAACGGUGUUUUAGCCGUAAGAAACGAG
RNAcentral lists this ribosomal RNA (1761 nucleotides) under Aculops pelekassi. RNAcentral's name for it is "bacterial SSU rRNA". It matches the Rfam family "Eukaryotic small subunit ribosomal RNA", at positions 56 to 1447 of the family's 1831-position model. The record is from RNAcentral. Lineage: Eukaryota; Metazoa; Arthropoda; Arachnida; Trombidiformes; Eriophyidae.